This 415-nucleotide ribosomal RNA is filed under the name uncultured bacterium. Its description in RNAcentral is "bacterial SSU rRNA". It matches the Rfam family "Bacterial small subunit ribosomal RNA", at positions 114 to 518 of the family's 1533-position model. The record is from RNAcentral.
UGUCUGGGAAACGUGCCUGGAUGGAGGGGGGAUAACUACUGGAAACGGUAAGCUAAUACCGCAUAACGUCGCGAGACCAAAGAGGGGGACCUUCGGGCCUCUUGCCAUCGGAUGUGCCCAGAUGGGAUUAGCUUGUUGGUGGGGUAACGGCUCACCAAGGCGACGAUCCCUAGCUGGUCUGAGAGGAUGACCCAGCCACACUGGAACUGAGACACGGUCCAGACUCCUACGGGAGGCAGCAGUGGGGAAUAUUGCACAAUGGGCGCAAGCCUGAUGCAGCCAUGCCGGCCGUGUAUGAAGAAGGCCUUCGGGUUGUAAAGUACUUUCAGCGGGGAGGAAGGGAGUAAAGUUAAUACCUUUGCUCAUUGACGUUACCCGCAGAAGAAGCACCGGCUAACUCCGUGCCAGCCGCUGC